AGGUCGGGCGGCAGCUACACAUGCAGUCGAGCGGAACGAUACCAGCUUGCUGGUAGGCGUCGAGCGGCGGACGGGUGAGUAAUACUUAGGAAUCUACCUAGUAGUGGGGGAUAGCUCGGGGAAACUCGAAUUAAUACCGCAUACGACCUACGGGAGAAAGGGGGCAGUUUACUGCUCUCGCUAUUAGAUGAGCCUAAGUCGGAUUAGCUAGAUGGUGGGGUAAAGGCCUACCAUGGCGACGAUCUGUAGCUGGUCUGAGAGGAUGAUCAGCCACACCGGGACUGAGACACGGCCCGGACUCCUACGGGAGGCAGCAGUGGGGAAUAUUGGACAAUGGGGGAAACCCUGAUCCAGCCAUGCCGCGUGUGUGAAGAAGGCCUUUUGGUUGUAAAGCACUUUAAGCAGUGAAGAAGACUCCUCGGUUAAUACCCGUGGACGAUGACAUUAGCUGCAGAAUAAGCACCGGCUAACUCUGUGCCAGCAGCCGCGGUAAUACAGAGGGUGCAAGCGUUAAUCGGAAUUACUGGGCGUAAAGCGAGCGUAGGUGGCUUGAUAAGUCAGAUGUGAAAUCCCCGGGCUUAACCAGGGAACUGCAUCUGAAACUGUUAGGCUAGAGUAGGUGAGAGGAAGGUAGAAUUCCAGGUGUAGCGGUGAAAUGCGUAGAGAUCUGGAGGAAUACCGAUGGCGAAGGCAGCCUUCUGGCAUCAUACUGACACUGAGGCCCGAAAGCGUGGGUAGCAAACAGGAUUAGAUACCCUGAUAGUCCACGCCGUAAACGAUGUCUACUAGUCGUUGGGUCCCUUGAGGACUUAGUGACGCAGCUAACGCAAUAAGUAGACCGCCUGGGGAGUACGGGCCGCAAGGUUAAAACUCAAAUGAAUUGACGGGGGCCCGCACAAGCGGUGGAGCAUGUGUUUAAUUCGAUGCAACGCGAAGAACCUUACCUGGUCUUGACAUAUCUAGAAUCCUGCAGAGAUGCGGGAGUGCCUUCGGGAAUUAGAAUACAGGUGCUGCAUGGCUGUCGUCCAGCUUC
RNAcentral lists this ribosomal RNA (1033 nucleotides) under uncultured bacterium. RNAcentral describes it as "bacterial SSU rRNA". It matches the Rfam family "Bacterial small subunit ribosomal RNA", at positions 33 to 1062 of the family's 1533-position model. The record is from RNAcentral.